GACACGGUGACGUGGGGCGGAUCCCUGAAAACCGGUCUCAGUUCGGAUCGCAGUCUGCAACUCGACUGCGUGAAGGUGGAGUCGCUAGUAAUCGCGGAUCAGCAACGCCGCGGUGAAUGCGUUCCCGGGCCUUGUACACACCGCCCGUCAAGUCAUGAAAGUGGGCAGCACCCGAAGACGGUGGCCUAACCCUUGUGGGGGGAGCCGUCUAAGGUGAGGCUCGUGAUUGGGACUAAGUCGUAACAAGGUACC
This 252-nucleotide ribosomal RNA is filed under the name uncultured bacterium. RNAcentral's name for it is "partial 16S ribosomal RNA". It matches the Rfam family "Bacterial small subunit ribosomal RNA", at positions 1251 to 1500 of the family's 1533-position model. The record is from RNAcentral.